UGGCAGAGCUAGGCAGAGAAUUCCAUGUCCUCUCUCACAUCCCAAUGGCGGUGGUUGAACGAGGAGCCAGUUUAUUCCCAAAUGGUGUUCCUUGGCUCUAUGCUGUGUUUGCUAUGCUUUUUGUAUUUUUUCUUUUUGCCAUGUUAUCUCCCUUUUUACUUGAGAUAGACCAGCACAUAAAGAAAUUCUUGAUCAGAUGCAGGUAUUCUCUGCAUAACACUGUGCAUAAGGACAAAAAAAACAGUGAGAUAAAGAUGGACCAUCUAGAAAGGCCAGGCUGUCCUCUGGAGUCACCAAGGAGAGGAGUUCUGGGAGGGAAGAAAAAUGGGAUGGGAAACGACCCAUUACUAUUUGUGAAAGUGACAAAAGAACCCAGGGAUUCUGAGGCUGAAAUCUAUACCCCUGGGCCUUCAGUUUGAGAGUCAUUUAGCCUAUAUGGAAUUACCUGUGACAUUACAUUCCAGAGAGACGAGAAAUUCUGAGACCCUUAUUAUCGAUGUUUAUAUUGAAAAAAUGGUUGAAUUUUCCUCCAGCCUUGGAGAGGAGCAUGACACUUACCCAAGGAAACAGUGGUGCAGUGGCACGAUCACGGCUCACUGCAGCCUGGACCUCCCCAGCUCAAGCAAUCCCCCUGUCUCUGCCUUUCAAGUAGCUGGGACUACAGGAACUGCAAGUAAUAAAACAUGACUGGAAUAACAAACCACAGGGAAAGGUGGGAGAAUGAAAAGAUGUAUAAGGGUCAUAUCCUACAAGUGUCGUGGCCACACCAAAUGAUCUGACUCAUGUGGAGCGAGCGGGCAGAUACAUUUAUUUUCACCUUGCAAAAAAUUAUACAAGAAAUUCUUCAGAAAGAAAGAAAAUGAUAUAGUUCAGAAGCUCUGAUCUACGAAAAGAAAAGGGAAGCAUUAGAGAAGAAAUAAAUACAGAUGGAGUUUCGCUCUUGUCACCCAGGCUGGAGCGCAAUGGUGUGAUUUCAGCUCACUGCAAACUCUGCCUUCCAAGUUCAUGCAAUUCUCCUGCCUCAGCCUCCCAA
Molecule: long non-coding RNA, 1033 nt
Organism: Pan troglodytes (chimpanzee)
Lineage: Eukaryota; Metazoa; Chordata; Mammalia; Primates; Hominidae
Exons: 7
Source: RefSeq, a predicted model, not a curated record